CCCAGUACAUUCGAUCUAUCAUGUCAUAUGUAAGGUAACACUUUUAUACUUUUGUCUUUCUUUUUUUACUACUAUACUUGUCUUUCUGUCGACGCUUCUUGUGUGGAUGAGCUUUCCAAAAGAUAUCAUGUCCAAUCUACUCGUGUAGUACCUGUCUCACACUCUCUCGUACAUGUAUCUUGCCUAUGAUUACCACUGUAGAUGAGUGGAUACAACAUGGGCACCAAACAGUAGAGAGAUGUAUGCUUUGGUGGCCUUUUUCUUUUUGUCUUCAUAUAUUAGCUAGUGGGAAAUGUGAAAGGCGUAUAUAUGUAAGGUGUAUGGAA
This 326-nucleotide long non-coding RNA is filed under the name Brachypodium distachyon (stiff brome). RNAcentral describes it as "long non-coding RNA (BDIS_LNC004626)". Lineage: Eukaryota; Viridiplantae; Streptophyta; Magnoliopsida; Poales; Poaceae. The record is from RNAcentral.